CACCUCUUGCGCUCGGAAGGUAAAUUAUGGUCGCAAGGUAGCAAUGAGUUUCGUAGAAUGCAAACUUCAUUCUCAGUGCCCUUUGAAGCUGUUAAACCAAAUUAACAACACAAUUGCCUAGUCACUUAUUCCGGAUCUUAAAACCUAUGCAAGGUAGAUUUGCAAGGCUCAUUAAUCCAAUGCUUUAUUUCGGUGAAGAUUGAGAUCUAAGAGGAUAGGAAACGAAAGGGGUGAGUUUUACCAUUUGAUAGGCUGCAAUAUGAACUCCAUCCCCUUUGAUGGCGUCGUCUUCCUCAGCCGGCCUCCACUCUCACCCAUGCAUCGAGCAUUGUCAGUUAUGAUUAAUGAACAUUUACAUCAAAAUUUCAUAUUUCUCUGCCACAUAUAUACACAAUUAGAUGGAUGACAAAACUGAAAACUAAAUCUGAAGCAUCUGUUGCNNNNNNNNNNUCCGGGAGGUGGUUGGCGGCGAUUGGUGCCACGACAACCUCCCGGACUAGUUUGGGGAGGUCUUUAGACUCCCCGACGCUAGUCGCCCUCCCACUUGGGUAGCUCUGGGUACCCUGGCAUGGACCCUCUGGUGUACCCAUAAUAAACUAGUCAUUGAGCGUGUGAUUCCUCGUCGUGUGACCGAUGCAAUCUAUAAAAUGUGUGGCUUCUUACAGCUUUGGAGACCGCUUAGCAAGCGGCGCGACCGAGACGUCAUCGACAACAUCAUUGCGGGUCUUCGUUCUUCGGCGUCGGCUUUUGCCCCUCCACUGCCUCCUAAGCCGGAUUAGCUUUUUUAGCUUUGUUUGGGGCUUGUCUUGCUGUGCCCCCAGCAUGACUUUAUGACUUGUUUGUACUCUGUACUGCUGUGUUGGAUGCUUGGUUCGUUGUUUUAUAAUAUAAAGCGGGGGGAAACCCUUUUUCUCAACUAGACGGUGGAGAUAUCAGGUUCAGUUGAGCCAAGGCUCAGAAAGAAUAUUCGUCCAAAGUAGCAAAUAUCCAUUUCUGAGCGCGAUCUCAUCAGCACCAUAUGAACAGUAAAAUAAAAUAAAUACUACAAAAAAUAAAUAAAAAGUGCAUGGAAGAUGUUUCAGUGCGUGAGGUCCGUGCAAAAUUUCAGCUUGUUUGAACAUCUGAGUAGCUCUUAGCAAAAGAAAACUGCCAAAAUAGUACAUGAACAGUACACUGUUUCACAAACAUCAAAUUUGUCUAUUUUGCUGAGAGCUACUCAGAUGUCCAAAUGAGCUGAAAUUUGGCAUGGACCUCACACACUGAAAUGUCUAUCUUGCAAAAAGGAAUUUUUUUUAUUUUUUCUAGUAUUUUAUUUGAUUUUACUGUUCAUGGCCAGUGUAGAUGAGCUCGGGAGCCAAUUUGCCCCUAUCCCAAAGUAGCUACUUUUCUGUCUAAAGUUGUUGAACCUAAAAUUUGGCACUUCAAACUGGACAUGUCACGUAUGCACAACAGUAGUUUUCUUUGAGUUCCAUGUGCACACCUGUCUGUAUCAUGUGUAAGAUAUUGUCGAAUGCAUAGCACUGGUCGCUUCCGGGUGUGCAAAACCGAACCGUAAACCAAAAACCAAACCGAGCCAAAAUUUUGGGGUUUUCAAGUUUCGGUUUCAGUUUCAGUUUUGAAGUCUGAAAACCGUUUGCAUUUCGAUUGGUUAAACCGUUUGCAUUUCAAUUGGGCUGCUAUAGUACAAUACUUUCUAGCCAUUUAGUGCUUCAGUUUACGUGAUAGUAAACAUGCACGUGCAACGCACGUCUAGACAAACAUACUAUGGCUAAAGUUCGGCAAAAACAACUCUUACAUUUUACACAUAUUCUCUGCACAAGGCAAACUGAUGCAUGAAAGCACUCCAUGUUACUACUUAGAUCUUGUGGACCGCUUUUUUGUAUUUUUACUACAAUAGUUUGUAUCUGUACAAUAAGAAGCUCCCCCAUUGUUUUUGUCCAAACAAAUAGUCCAGUUCUAAUAUUCUCUUUAACAAAAACAAAGUGCAGCUCACAUGAUAUUAAAAAACAUAACCUUCACUUCCCGGGGAAAGAAGUAUAUAAAGGAGUGCGUUCCGCAUCCCCUGUGAUCACCAAAAUAGUAAGCAGGGAGGAUAACAUAGCGAACUCACAGUUGUCAUUUGUACAUUAGAAGAAAACUUGUACCAUAAAUCAACAAAUGUGCAUCUUACAAUNNNNNNNNNNAAGGACGGCAGGAACGGUGAUGACUGCACCUCUUGCGCUCGGAAGGUAAAUUAUGGUCGCAAGGUAGCAAUGAGUUUCGUAGAAUGCAAACUUCAUUCUCAGUGCCCUUUGAAGCUGUUAAACCAAAUUAACAACACAAUUGCCUAGUCACUUAUUCCGGAUCUUAAAACCUAUGCAAGGUAGAUUUGCAAGGCUCAUUAAUCCAAUGCUUUAUUUCGGUGAAGAUUGAGAUCUAAGAGGAUAGGAAACGAAAGGGGUGAGUUUUACCAUUUGAUAGGCUGCAAUAUGAACUCCAUCCCCUUUGAUGGCGUCGUCUUCCUCAGCCGGCCUCCACUCUCACCCAUGCAUCGAGCAUUGUCAGUUAUGAUUAAUGAACAUUUACAUCAAAAUUUCAUAUUUCUCUGCCACAUAUAUACACAAUUAGAUGGAUGACAAAACUGAAAACUAAAUCUGAAGCAUCUGUUGC
This 2649-nucleotide long non-coding RNA is filed under the name Triticum aestivum (bread wheat). Its description in RNAcentral is "long non-coding RNA (TAES_LNC028441)". Lineage: Eukaryota; Viridiplantae; Streptophyta; Magnoliopsida; Poales; Poaceae. The record is from RNAcentral.